This 304-nucleotide ribosomal RNA is filed under the name uncultured Bradyrhizobiaceae bacterium. Its description in RNAcentral is "bacterial SSU rRNA". It matches the Rfam family "Bacterial small subunit ribosomal RNA", at positions 29 to 359 of the family's 1533-position model. The record is from RNAcentral. Lineage: Bacteria; Pseudomonadati; Pseudomonadota; Alphaproteobacteria; Hyphomicrobiales; Nitrobacteraceae.
AACGAACGCUGUGUCGCAGGCUUAAAGAAGCAAGUCGAGCGGGCGUAGCAAUACGUCAGCGGCAGACUGGUGAGUAACGCGUGGGAACGUACCUUUUGGUUCGGAACAACACAGGGAAACUUGUGCUAAUACCGGAUAAGCCCUUACGGGGAAAGAUUUAUCGCCGAAAGAUCGGCCCGCGUCUGAUUAGCUAGUUGGUGAGAUAAUGGCUCACCAAGGCGACGAUCAGUAGCUGGUCUGAGAGGAUGAUCAGCCACAUUGGGACUGAGACACGGCCCAAACUCCUACGGGAGGCAGCAGUGGG